Molecule: ribosomal RNA, 420 nt
Filed under: bacterium
Lineage: Bacteria
Description: partial 16S ribosomal RNA
Rfam family: Bacterial small subunit ribosomal RNA
Source: RNAcentral
UGGGGGAUAUUGCACAAUGGGCGAAAGCCUGAUGCAGCGACGCCGCGUGGGGGAUGAAGGCUUUCGGGUUGUAAACCUCUUUCGCUAUCGAACACGGCCCGCUUAGGGUGGGUUGAGGGUAGGUGGAGAAGAAGCGCCGGCUAACUACGUGCCAGCAUCCGCGGUAAUACGUAGGGCGCGAGCGUUGUCCGGAAUUAUUGUGCGUAAAGGGCUUGUAGGCGGCUUGUUGCGCCUGCUGUGAAAACGCGGGGCUUAACUUCGCGCGUGCAGUGGGUACGGGCAGGCUUGAGUGUGGUAGGGGUGACUGGAAUUCCAGGUGUAGCGGUGGAAUGCGAAGAUAUCUGGAGGAACACCGAUGGCGAAGGCAGGUCACUGGGCCAUUACUGACGCUGAGGUGCGAAAGCAUGGGUAGCGAACAGG